Molecule: ribosomal RNA, 301 nt
Filed under: uncultured bacterium
Lineage: Bacteria
Description: partial 16S ribosomal RNA
Rfam family: Bacterial small subunit ribosomal RNA
Source: RNAcentral
CAGCCGCCGCGGUAACACGGAGGGAGCUAGCGCUGUUCGGAAUUACUGGGCGUAAAGCGCACGUAGGCGGCUUUGUAAGUUAGAGGUGAAAGCCCGGGGCUCAACUCCGGAACUGCCUUUAAGACUGCAUCGCUUGAAUCAUGGAGAGGCGGGUGGAAUUCCGAGUGUAGAGGUGAAAUUCGUAGAUAUUCGGAAGAACACCAGUGGCGAAGGCGGCCCGCUGGACAUGUAUUGACGCUGAGGUGCGAAAGCGUGGGGAGCAAACAGGAUUAGAUACCCCGGUAGUCCCUGUCUCUUAUAA